AAUUAGUUCUAGUUCUCUAUUAGAAUGGAGUGGGGAAGAGAAUUCAAAAAUAUAUUCUUGAUGACUUCGAAAUCUUGAAUGUAUUUUAAUACUUCUAUUUCUGAAAAAAAAAUAAAAAAAAUAAAAUUGGUAGUCAUAACAAGAGUUCUAUUAAAAAUUUAUCAUAGAAUGCUUGUAAAACAUGGAAUGAAUGGAUUGACAACAACUAUC
Molecule: long non-coding RNA, 210 nt
Filed under: Vitis vinifera (wine grape)
Lineage: Eukaryota; Viridiplantae; Streptophyta; Magnoliopsida; Vitales; Vitaceae
Description: long non-coding RNA (VVIN_LNC000240)
Source: RNAcentral